UUAAUACGCUGCUGGAUGUCGCAAAGAAGAGCGCAUAUAUAAACCGUGGCACAACGCUCGUCCCGUCUCUCUUUUCCUCAGCGAACUUUAGUGUGGUCAGGAUGUUGUGGUUUAACAUGUGCAGUUCUUCAGAAAGUCGCUUUGUGUUUGUAAGCGUAUUCUUCAGUCUAAAUAAAGUUGGGAGUUCGGAAACACGUGGCCAUGGAUGAUGUUCGCCAUAGGCUUUUGAACGGGAAGAACUUUCGCGUUUAAUGCAUCGAUUCUAAAUCGCGAUGAAUGCGAUCAAUGGAUUGCGCUUUCACUGACGGUUCAAAUGUUGGAGUUCCUGACUGCAAAAAUGUGGUUUUGUGAGCGACUGUUGGAGUUCCUGACUGCAAAAAAAGUGGAUUUGUGAGAUGUGAGGACCAAGAAAUCAAUCCGGUGGCGUACAGUUUGGAAUACAAUAUCCUGUUUAUGCAUGGAUGUCACUGUGCAAAAGAAUGCACUUUUGAAACAUGAAUGUUUUAUGCACUUCUAAUUCUGUUUGUAUUGUUGCAAUAAAAGUGAACAAAAGCCUUGA
Molecule: long non-coding RNA, 559 nt
Organism: Megalobrama amblycephala (Wuchang bream)
Lineage: Eukaryota; Metazoa; Chordata; Actinopteri; Cypriniformes; Xenocyprididae
Exons: 5
Source: RefSeq, a predicted model, not a curated record